RNAcentral lists this ribosomal RNA (278 nucleotides) under uncultured bacterium. RNAcentral's name for it is "partial 16S ribosomal RNA". It matches the Rfam family "Bacterial small subunit ribosomal RNA", at positions 1105 to 1382 of the family's 1533-position model. The record is from RNAcentral.
UCACCUCUUGUUGCCAUCAGGUCAUGCUGGGCACUCUAGAGGAACUGCCCCGGUCAACGGGGAGGAAGGCGGGGAUGACGUCAAGUCAUCAUGCCCCUUACGUCCUGGGCUACACACGUGCUACAAUGGCCGGUACAAAGGGAUGCCACACCGCGAGGUAGAGCUAAACCCAAAAAGCCGGUCUAAGUUCAGAUUGGAGUCUGCAACUCGACUCCAUGAAGGAGGAAUCGCUAGUAAUCGCGUAUCAGCACGACGCGGUGAAUACGUUCCCGGGCCUU